Molecule: long non-coding RNA, 492 nt
Organism: Helianthus annuus (common sunflower)
Lineage: Eukaryota; Viridiplantae; Streptophyta; Magnoliopsida; Asterales; Asteraceae
Exons: 2
Source: RefSeq, a predicted model, not a curated record
AAUUUCAUAGCAGUUCAUCCAUUUUCCCCACUUAAUUCUCAAUUUAUUCCAAAAUACCUUCCCCGCUUUAGUUAUCCCACUUUCUCAAAAUCCCUAACCCUAAACUCACUCCUAAUCCCGCUUCAUCAAAAUCCCUCUCCACCGCACCAUCAGAUGAACCAGCCCCAAAAUUUCAUAGCAGUUCAACCCAAGGGAACUUUCUAUGGAUAAAUUUGCAAUCAGUUGAACUUUAAUUUGCACUCUUUUGUUCAACACUAUUGCAAUUUGAAGUUAUGCCACUUUGAAGGUCCUUAUGUUCAUGGAUGGGAACUUGCUAUCUGGGAGUGCUGGAGUGGUCAUGGUUCCUGGCUCUUGGAUACAAGUUUAAUGACUAUUGCACACUUGUUUUGGAACACUUGAAAUAACGAUUUACAUUAUGCUUCCGCUGAACAGAUUGUUUUAUUGUGUUUGGAUUUACUUUAUGAAAUAAAUGGAAUCUUUUAUUUAAUACUA